UUUUAGUUCAAUUUCUUGUUCUAGCAAUUGGACUAGAUAUGCCAUGUUCAAAUUCACUACUACAUAUGUUAUUUUCUCACUCUCUGAUAGACUACAUGACUAGUUUAAUCUUUACUAUUAUGGUCAUGUUUUAUCUACUAUUUUUAUGGAUUAAAUCAUAUGGUAAACUGCUCAUAUUUCCAACACGCCCCAUGUACAUGUAUGGGUGUAACAAACACAUCCUAUGUGGUCAGUCUUCCUUCAUCAAAAUGUUCCAUGGCAAUCCAAUGAGAUUGAUGCCUCUAAUACCUAUGUUUAUAAGAAAAUAUAAGUUCAUUCAAUUAUUGGCAUCAGUAUACAGCAUUGCAUUGCAUAAGCUGAGAAACUUUGUGGCUCUCAUUUUAAUAUGGAACCGAACUGUCUACAGCAGCACUGAAGAUGAUGGUGGUUGGUUUCGCAUUCCAAUUGAUAAGGUGGGCGAAAGCCUCUUUCUAAGCAGUCACUCUGGCACGACACAUCAGUGCAACCCGCUAAAUCUCUGCAUAAGCGUCGUUGAACUACAAUGCAAUACAUCACAUAAGAAAAAAUUUAUUAAUACAGUCCAUAAAACUAAAAUAUUUGCUGACAGAUUAAUUAAUUUCAACAUUUGGAAACUGCAUGAAAAAUAUAAAUAAUGUUGCUUACUUGCUUGGCAGGACGGCAAUGUUGAGAACAUGAACACAAUGACCAAUAAAGCAACAACUAUGUUGUACAUGACCAUCCUUGUGUUUCUCUUGAUGAGUGCCAUGAGGAAAAAUGUGACUUAUGUUUGGUCUUUGUUUUUCUCUUCCAAGCUCCUUUACAGGUGUUUAUAUAGACGCACAACAAAAUCUUAGAUAUCAAUUGGUUGAUUUCAUGCAUUUAUG
Molecule: long non-coding RNA, 884 nt
Filed under: Triticum aestivum (bread wheat)
Lineage: Eukaryota; Viridiplantae; Streptophyta; Magnoliopsida; Poales; Poaceae
Description: long non-coding RNA (TAES_LNC013663)
Source: RNAcentral